AUCCAGCUGACGAGUCCCAAAUGGGACGAAACGUGCGUCCUUGAU
This 45-nucleotide non-coding RNA is filed under the name Schistosoma mansoni. Lineage: Eukaryota; Metazoa; Platyhelminthes; Trematoda; Strigeidida; Schistosomatidae. The record is from RNAcentral.